CCUACGGGCGGCAGCAGUGGGGAAUAUUGGGCAAUGGGCGCAAGCCUGACCCAGCAACGCCGCGUGAAGGAAGAAGUCUUUCGGGUUGUAAACUUCUUUUCUCAGGGACGAAAAAGUCGACGGUACCUGAGGAAUAAGCCACGGCUAACUACGUGCCAGCAGCCGCGGUAAUACGUAGGCGGCAAGCGUUAUCCGGUUUUAUUGGGGGUAAAGGGCGUGUAGGCGGGAGCGCAAGUCAGAUGUGAAAACUCAGGGCUCAACCCUGCGACUGCAUUGGAAACUGUGUUUCUUGAGUGCAGGAGAGGUAAGCGGAAUGCCGGGUGUAGCGGUGAAAUGCGUAGAUAUAAGGAGGAACACCAGUGGCGAAGGCGGAUUGCUGGACAGUAACUGACGCUGAGGCGCGAAAGCGUGGGGAGCAAACAGGAUUAGAUACCCGAGUAGUC
This 443-nucleotide ribosomal RNA is filed under the name uncultured bacterium. RNAcentral's name for it is "partial 16S ribosomal RNA". It matches the Rfam family "Bacterial small subunit ribosomal RNA", at positions 338 to 795 of the family's 1533-position model. The record is from RNAcentral.